This 240-nucleotide unclassified non-coding RNA is filed under the name soil metagenome. RNAcentral's name for it is "partial contains 5.8S ribosomal RNA, internal transcribed spacer 2, and large subunit ribosomal RNA". The record is from RNAcentral.
AACCUAGCACACCUGCGGUGUGUACCUGCGGAAGGAUCAUUAUAGUAUAUGGAAUCUCCAUUCUAUAAACCCACUCUGCGUAUCUUGUAACUGUUGCUUCCAUGGGACUUGGUUCCGCCACACCGGCUUCACGGCUGGUGAGCGCCCAUGGAAGGAGAAACAAAACUCUUCUUUGAAAUGUAGUCAGUCUGAACAAGUUUUUAUAAACGUUAAAACUUUUAGCAAUGGAUCUCAGAUCGG